GAUGAACGCUGGCGGCGUGCCUAAUACAUGCAAGUCGAGCGAACAGACGAGGAGCUUGCUCCUCUGACGUUAGCGGCGGACGGGUGAGUAACACGUGGAUAACCUACCUAUAAGACUGGGAUAACUUCGGGAAACCGGAGCUAAUACCGGAUAAUAUAUUGAACCGCAUGGUUCAAUAGUGAAAGACGGUUUUGCUGUCACUUAUAGAUGGAUCCGCGCCGCAUUAGCUAGUUGGUAAGGUAACGGCUUACCAAGGCAACGAUGCGUAGCCGACCUGAGAAGGUGAUCGGCCACACUGGAACUGAGACACGGUCCAGACUCCUACGGGAGGCAGCAGUAGGGAAUCUUCCGCAAUGGGCGAAAGCCUGACGGAGCAACGCCGCGUGAGUGAUGAAGGUCUUCGGAUCGUAAAACUCUGUUAUUAGGGAAGAACAAAUGUGUAAGUAACUAUGCACGUCUUGACGGUACCUAAUCAGAAAGCCACGGCUAACUACGUG
Molecule: ribosomal RNA, 497 nt
Filed under: uncultured bacterium
Lineage: Bacteria
Description: partial 16S ribosomal RNA
Rfam family: Bacterial small subunit ribosomal RNA
Source: RNAcentral